This is a long non-coding RNA of Paramisgurnus dabryanus, 1126 nucleotides long. RefSeq lists it as uncharacterized. The record is from RefSeq and is a predicted model, not a curated record. NCBI's taxonomy places the organism in Eukaryota, Metazoa, Chordata, Actinopteri, Cypriniformes, Cobitidae.
CUGGGAUUAGUGACGUAGAUAAGACCAACAUUAUCAUAGUUCAGCCCUCUCUGCUUUGCUUGGGUACGCCCUCAAAGACGAGGGUGGGGAGCGCCGAGUCAGAAGAGAGCUAAAAUGGCGGAGGUUGGGAGUCCCUGCUUUGACUCUGUUUGCAAACUCUUGUUUCAUCGUUUAAGCGAUUAAAUCUCUCGAGUAGACGCUGUCUCUUUAGAUGCGAGGGCAAAAUAGCACUUUAUGGACUUCCACAGAGGACAUCAUGUUUAAUACGGUUCCGGAAAAAUCCAGUCAGAAGUUGUUCACGGAGUUUUCACAAUAACUGCUUCUCAUUAACCGAAGCUGGAUUUGCGCGACGUCUCCUCUUGAAAGUUGGAUUACUGUGCACUUCUGGAUCACAGGCUAUUCGGAGCUGGACACAUCCUUCUACACUGUAUGCAAACAUGCAACAUCAUAACACACAGUACAAGGAGUCAGACUGGCAUAUGAGGAGCAAAGGAACCCACGCAGUAGCAUCGUUUCACAAUGUUUCCAUCACCAUCAUCAGUGGAUGCCUUUGCCGUCCGUAGCCUGAGAUUUCAGAUUUGCAGCAAAAAAAUUUGAUUUUCUCAUUUAUUGGAAUGCUAUGCAGGUUGUACCUUGCAGCCAUCCAUUACAAUGUCACCAAGCCGUAACAAAAGCAGGAGAGGGAAAGUACAAGGCUAUGUUCCCAAAACACACAAAUGACAUACCUUAUGUGGAUGAUCUGAUCAGGCUUGUGUUUGAUGAGGUAUUUGAAGAUAAGCUGAAGGAAACCCCGAUUCCAAUGGACCCGGCAUCACAGUUUGAGAGACCUUCAAAGGAGGACGUGAUUGCAUGCCAUCUUCAGUGCAGGGGUCGUCGGAAGCCAACAUUCCGAUCAGGAAGCAAGCAUAUCUGGAGAACAACACACGACAGGAUGAUAACCCUAAAGUGUCAUCUUAGAUAGCAUCAGCUGACAAAGCUUUGAUAUGCCAUUUAUCUGAAUAGAUAGCUGUAAGAAGUGAAUUGAACAAUUUUUGAAAGAAGAGCACAAUAUGGUUACUAAAGUAUGUUUAUUUGUAUAUUGUUUAACAUUUAAAUAUAUAUUUGUAAUAAAUAAACUUUUGACUGA